AUUAGACCUCACCUUGGAGAUCAUCUCCCUGCUGAGCGGAGAGGAGUACACAAUAGUGAAGAAGACAUUGGGGGACUGUGUGACUCCCAUCAUCCAUCUCCAGGAGUCAGGAGGGUGGAGCAGGACCCCUCACCUCAUCACAGAGCCUCCUCCUCACCCCCUUAUACAUGAGCAGAAGAUCCUAGAACUCACCCACCAGAUAUUGGAGCUGCUGACUGGAGAGGUUCCUAUAAGGUGUCAGGGCGUCACUGUCUAUUUCUCCAUGGAUGAGUGGGAGU
Long non-coding RNA from Bufo gargarizans (Asiatic toad), 278 nucleotides. RefSeq lists it as uncharacterized. The record is from RefSeq and is a predicted model, not a curated record. The transcript has 3 exons. NCBI's taxonomy places the organism in Eukaryota, Metazoa, Chordata, Amphibia, Anura, Bufonidae.